This 81-nucleotide transfer RNA is filed under the name Lactococcus lactis. RNAcentral's name for it is "tRNA-OTHER". It matches the Rfam family "tRNA". From Rfam's summary of the family: Transfer RNA (tRNA) molecules are approximately 80 nucleotides in length. Their secondary structure includes four short double-helical elements and three loops (D, anti-codon, and T loops). Further hydrogen bonds mediate the characteristic L-shaped molecular structure. tRNAs have two regions of fundamental functional importance: the anti-codon, which is responsible for specific mRNA codon recognition, and the 3' end, to which the tRNAs corresponding amino acid is attached (by aminoacyl-tRNA synthetases). tRNAs cope with the degeneracy of the genetic code in two manners: having more than one tRNA (with a specific anti-codon) for a particular amino acid; and 'wobble' base-pairing, i.e. permitting non-standard base-pairing at the 3rd anti-codon position. Lineage: Bacteria; Bacillati; Bacillota; Bacilli; Lactobacillales; Streptococcaceae. RNAcentral also lists the same sequence under 2 other names. The record is from RNAcentral.
UGGAGCUUAGUUUAUUAGUUGGCUAAAAUACACAACUUUGCUAGCACUUGUGAGACGUAGGUUCGAAUCCUGCAGUUCCAA